UACAGAGGUCCCGAGCGUUGUUCGGAUUCACUGGGCGUAAAGGGUGCGUAGGUGGCGAGGUAAGUCGGAUGUGAAAGCUCGGAGCUCAACUCCGAAAUGGCAUUGGAAACUACCUUGCUCGAGGGUUGGAGGGGGGACUGGAAUACUUGGUGUAGCAGUGAAAUGCGUAGAUAUCAAGUGGAACACCAGUGGCGAAGGCGAGUCCCUGGACAACUCCUGACACUGAGGCACGAAAGCUAGGGGAGCAAACAGG
RNAcentral lists this ribosomal RNA (253 nucleotides) under uncultured bacterium. Its description in RNAcentral is "partial 16S ribosomal RNA". It matches the Rfam family "Bacterial small subunit ribosomal RNA", at positions 524 to 776 of the family's 1533-position model. The record is from RNAcentral.